This 534-nucleotide long non-coding RNA is filed under the name Mytilus galloprovincialis (Mediterranean mussel). The record is from RNAcentral. Lineage: Eukaryota; Metazoa; Mollusca; Bivalvia; Mytilida; Mytilidae.
AUUUGUGACAAAAAGUUAAUUAGAUACACUUGAGAAAUUGUCAAUUAUGGAAAUACUGUUGGAGUAUCACACAUAUAUAUAUAAAUAUACAUGUUAUUAAGUAUAAGUGUAUGUUAGAUGAAAAUAUAUUGCUAAAAGAACAUAAAUUAAUACAUGUUUAUCUAUAAUCAUUAACCAUUUAGUUUUAUACCAGUGGUUAUGUCAUACCAUUGCACAUUAUUCCACACUUAUAACAUGUGUUUUUCUUCUGAACUAGACUAACUCGUUAUUAUAUCUAUCAUUUUACAAUAGAAAUUGAAACAUGUUUGUAGGUGUUCACAUAGUUUCCAUUAAAACAGAAAAGGUCAAUGGGUCAAAAAAUUGUGUCAUCCCUUUUUAUGAAACCAUGAACUUUUAAUUUCAUGUUUUGAAUACCCAAAAUUUGACAUUAAAAGAUUUAUGUUCAUGUAAGAACAUUUGAAAUUUACCUAAUUUGAACUAUUCUGGAACAAGAAAACAAAAAAAUAAAAGCAAUUAUUUCAAAUGUGUAAAAAA